This 1582-nucleotide ribosomal RNA is filed under the name Klebsiella pneumoniae. RNAcentral's name for it is "bacterial LSU rRNA". It matches the Rfam family "Bacterial large subunit ribosomal RNA", at positions 1 to 1620 of the family's 2925-position model. Lineage: Bacteria; Pseudomonadati; Pseudomonadota; Gammaproteobacteria; Enterobacterales; Enterobacteriaceae. The record is from RNAcentral.
GGGUUGUGAGGUUAAGCGACUAAGCGUACACGGUGGAUGCCCUGGCAGUCAGAGGCGAUGAAGGACGUGCUAAUCUGCGAAAAGCGUCGGUAAGGUGAUAUGAACCGUUAUAGCCGGCGAUGUCCGAAUGGGGAAACCCAGUGUGAUUCGUCACACUAUCGUUAACUGAAUACAUAGGUUAACGAGGCGAACCGGGGGAACUGAAACAUCUAAGUACCCCGAGGAAAAGAAAUCAACCGAGAUUCCCCCAGUAGCGGCGAGCGAACGGGGAGCAGCCCAGAGUCUGAAUCAGCUUGUGUGUUAGUGGAACGGUCUGGAAAGUCCGACGGUACAGGGUGAUAGUCCCGUACACCAAAAUGCACAGGCUGUGAACUCGAAGAGUAGGGCGGGACACGUGGUAUCCUGUCUGAAUAUGGGGGGACCAUCCUCCAAGGCUAAAUACUCCUGACUGACCGAUAGUGAACCAGUACCGUGAGGGAAAGGCGAAAAGAACCCCGGCGAGGGGAGUGAAAAAGAACCUGAAACCGUGUACGUACAAGCAGUGGGAGCACCUUCGGGUGUGACUGCGUACCUUUUGUAUAAUGGGUCAGCGACUUAUAUUCUGUAGCAAGGUUAACCGUAUAGGGGAGCCGCAGGGAAACCGAGUCUUAACUGGGCGUUAAGUUGCAGGGUAUAGACCCGAAACCCGGUGAUCUAGCCAUGGGCAGGUUGAAGGUUGGGUAACACUAACUGGAGGACCGAACCGACUAAUGUUGAAAAAUUAGCGGAUGACUUGUGGCUGGGGGUGAAAGGCCAAUCAAACCGGGAGAUAGCUGGUUCUCCCCGAAAGCUAUUUAGGUAGCGCCUCGUGAACUCAUCUUCGGGGGUAGAGCACUGUUUCGGCUAGGGGGUCAUCCCGACUUACCAACCCGAUGCAAACUACGAAUACCGAAGAAUGUUAUCACGGGAGACACACGGCGGGUGCUAACGUCCGUCGUGAAGAGGGAAACAACCCAGACCGCCAGCUAAGGUCCCAAAGUCAUGGUUAAGUGGGAAACGAUGUGGGAAGGCACAGACAGCCAGGAUGUUGGCUUAGAAGCAGCCAUCAUUUAAAGAAAGCGUAAUAGCUCACUGGUCGAGUCGGCCUGCGCGGAAGAUGUAACGGGGCUAAACCAUGCACCGAAGCUGCGGCAGCGACACUAUGUGUUGUUGGGUAGGGGAGCGUUCUGUAAGCCUGCGAAGGUGUGCUGUGAGGCAUGCUGGAGGUAUCAGAAGUGCGAAUGCUGACAUAAGUAACGAUAAAGCGGGUGAAAAGCCCGCUCGCCGGAAGACCAAGGGUUCCUGUCCAACGUUAAUCGGGGCAGGGUGAGUCGACCCCUAAGGCGAGGCCGAAAGGCGUAGUCGAUGGGAAACAGGUUAAUAUUCCUGUACUUGGUGUUACUGCGAAGGGGGGACGGAGAAGGCUAUGUUAGCCGGGCGACGGUUGUCCCGGUUUAAGCAUGUAGGCUGGUUGUCCAGGCAAAUCCGGAUAAUCAAGGCUGAGGUGUGAUGACGAGGCACUACGGUGCUGAAGUAACAAAUGCCCUGCUUCCAGGAAAAGCCU